AGUCGAUUUUUGCUUAUGGGAGGCAGUCAUGUGUUGUUAGUAAACGCUAUCGCAAGCUAAAAUUCGCUUUUGGAAAUUAAUUUCUCAUUACAAAUCACAUAAAAAUACUAUCAACUGUUUUAAUUGAAACGGCAUGUUGCUAUUAAGUUAAAGCAUUGUAAUUUACAAAGAAGUGCACUUACAUCGGUCGUGAUGGGUCGUUUCCUGACACCGGAUAAAUUGGCCGGGUUCGAAAAAUACAAGUAUAAUUCCAUCGAUACUAGUGUGCUCAGUAACUAUGUUAUGCACCCAUUUUGGAAUUGGUGUGUUCAGUUUUGUCCGGUGUGGGUGGCACCAAACCUGCUAACAUUUGCUGGGUUCCUACUGACCGUUUUUAACUUCCUCCUAUUCUCGUACUACGACUAUGGGUUUCACGCCCUUACUGAAGAGAAUGUCACUAACGAUCACAUUCCUUCGUGGGUGUGGGCUGUGUCCGCUGUGAACUUAUUCGUGGCAUAUACUCUAGACGGCAUCGACGGCAAGCAAGCCCGCAGGACAGGCACUAGCGGGCCGCUGGGCGAGCUCUUUGACCACGGCCUCGACUCGUACUCGUCCGUGCUCAUACCCACUUGUUUGUACAGCAUAUUUGGAAGAGAUGAGUUAAGCCCACUCCGGUUUUUUUUUGUGAUAUGGAACAUAUUCAUAAACUUUUAUCUCACGCACUGGGAGAAAUACAACACUGGGGUGAUGUUCCUGCCUUGGGGAUAUGACUUCACCAUGAUUGGGUCGUGCUGCCUGCUGCUAACGACAUCUGUCAUCGGGCCUAAGGCGUGGCACGUGUCGCUGCCGGGAGGACUCAGCCCUGGGAUCGUGUUCGAGUUCGUGCUUUACUUCUCCGCCAUGAUCACCAGCCAGACCGUCAUCCUGUGGAAUAUUUACAAGUCGUACCGCGACGGCACGGGCAAGAUGCGUCCGUUCUCGGAGGCGGUGCGGCCGCUGGUGCCGGUGCUGCUGUUCUUCGCGCUCAGCAGCGCGUGGGCGCUGUACUCGCCCACCGACAUCAUCAACCGCGGCCCCAGGCUGUUCUAUCUACUCACCGGAACUAUAUUCUCGAAUAUCAACUGCCGUCUGAUCGUGUCCCAGAUGAGCGACACGCGAUGCGAGCUGUUCAACGGGCUGCUGGUCCCGUACGCGCUGGUGCUGGCGCUGGUGCUGUGCGUGCAGGUGUCGCCCAUGAGCGAGCUGCUGCUGCUGGCGGCGCUGUGCGCGGGCUGCUCCGCCGCGCACGUGUACUACGGCUCCCGCGUGGUGAGUACGGGCCGGUGCUGUGCGUCAGGUGUCGCCCAUGAGCGAGCUGCUGCUGCUGGCGGCGCUGUGCGCGGGCUGCUCCGCCGCGCACGUGUACUACGGCUCCCGCGUGGUGAGUACGGGCCGGUGCUGUGCGUCAGGUGUCGCCCAUGAGCGAGCUGCUGCUGCUGGCGGCGCUGUGCGCGGGCUGCUCCGCCGCGCACGUGUACUACGGCUCCCGCGUGGUGAGUACGGGCCGGUGCUGUGCGUCAGGUGUCGCCCAUGAGCGAGCUGCUGCUGCUGGCGGCGCUGUGCGCGGGCUGCUCCGCCGCGCACGUGUACUACGGCUCCCGCGUGGUGAGUACGGGCCGGUGCUGUGCGUCAGGUGUCGCCCAUGAGCGAGCUGCUGCUGCUGGCGGCGCUGUGCGCGGGCUGCUCCGCCGCGCACGUGUACUACGGCUCCCGCGUGGUGAGUACGGGCCGGUGCUGUGCGUCAGGUGUCGCCCAUGAGCGAGCUGCUGCUGCUGGCGGCGCUGUGCGCGGGCUGCUCCGCCGCGCACGUGUACUACGGCUCCCGCGUGGUGAGUACGGGCCGGUGCUGUGCGUCAGGUGUCGCCCAUGAGCGAGCUGCUGCUGCUGGCGGCGCUGUGCGCGGGCUGCUCCGCCGCGCACGUGUACUACGGCUCCCGCGUGGUACAAGAGAUGUGCGAUCAUUUCAACAUACAGUGUUUCCAUAUAAAGCCAAAGGUAACAUAAGUAUCGUAGAUUGUAUGAUGUUAUUUAGAACUCUCUUAUUCUUAUAACUUGUACUGUGUAUUGACUUUCUCCAUUUUAUCCCUACUUCGGUAGCCACAUAUACCUCAGAUUUAUUUUAAUUUAGGUAAUUUAUUGUUAACGUGGUUUUGGCGGUGAGGGUAUGAAUCUCAUUCAUAAUAUAUUUUAAGGGUAUGUGUGCGAUAGAGUUAAUCAAUAUUUUUUAUUGGCAGCUGUAUAAGCUAAUUAAUUAGUCAAAAACGCUGCUAUCAUUCGAGUGGACCUCGACGUAGCUGAAUGUAUUCAAUAUAUUCUUAAAGAUUACAGAUCUACAAUUAUAUUUGCUCAUUUAAUUUUAAUGUUUAAUAAGGUUCGGUUAGGUAAUACUUCUUCCAAAUAUUAUUUUGUAACUAAAUAGGAGUAGGUUUAAUAUAAAUCAAAAACUGCCGUAUCUAACGAGUUUUGUGGAUUUUAUACAUUUAUUUAUGUUUAUUUACACAACUGAUUUGUUAUUAUUUAUUUUUAAUUUAGUUAAAUGAAUUUUAAAUCUUGUAAAUUGGUAGUAGUUGCCCUUUAGCAGGCUAAUACCCAAAUUAUGCGUGAUAUACUAUACCAUAUCUACAACUCUAAAAUUUCCAGUGGUUAGAAUAAUAAGAUUAUUUCCUAUUUUAUAAAACUGGUGUUACUAGUAAAACUAGUCAUGUUUUUUAAUAUUAUUGCCAUUUUUGCCAUAAGUAAUUGAUAUUAAAUAUCUGAAACCAAAUGUAAUGUUAUAAUAUUAUGACAAACAAUUUUAGUCAAUUUCUAUUCAAAAUCUGUAUUUUGGUAGAUUGUUGAUAUUUUAUACAAUUUUGAUCUAACAUACUAUGACAGUUAUUUACUAUUUGUAUAUUUCUCAUCAAUAUUGUAUACUGUAUAUUUUGGAAUAACUCUUUUGUCUGAUUUGAUAGUAAUAUAAUUUUAAAUAAUUAAGUGACCAGUAAUAUUUUGAAAUAUUUGUUGUUUGUGAUUUACCUUAGUAACGGUUAUGGGCCUGUUUCACCUUCCAAAAUUACAACUCGAAUAUGUUACAAAAUUGGUUUGAAAACAAAUAGGUGUCACGUACAAAUCAUGCUAAAAUGAAAACACGCUUAUCUUCGCAGCGUCCUUAUUUCAAAGCAGGGAUGUUUCCGCACACAUUUUCCUAUUGACUCCAAACUAAAUACAAAA
Molecule: RNA transcript, 3228 nt
Organism: Ostrinia furnacalis (Asian corn borer)
Lineage: Eukaryota; Metazoa; Arthropoda; Insecta; Lepidoptera; Crambidae
Gene name: ethanolaminephosphotransferase 1
Exons: 10
Source: RefSeq, a predicted model, not a curated record